AACGAACGCUGGCGGCAUGCCUAACACAUGCAAGUCGAACGAGACCUUCGGGUCUAGUGGCGCACGGGUGCGUAACGCGUGGGAACCUGCCCUUAGGUUCGGAAUAACUCCCCGAAAGGGGUGCUAAUACCGGAUAAUGUCUUCGGACCAAAGAUUUAUCGCCUUUGGAUGGGCCCGCGUUGGAUUAGCUAGUUGGUAGGGUAAAAGCCUACCAAGGCGACGAUCCAUAGCUGGUCUGAGAGGAUGAUCAGCCACACUGGGACUGAGACACGGCCCAGACCCCUACGGGAGGCAGCAGUGGGGAAUAUUGGACAAUGGGCGAAAGCCUGAUCCAGCAAUGCCGCGUGAGUGAUGAAGGCCUUAGGGUUGUAAAGCUCUUUUACCCGGGAUGAUAAUGACAGUACCGGGAGAAUAAGCGCCGGCUAACUCCGUG
RNAcentral lists this ribosomal RNA (433 nucleotides) under uncultured bacterium. RNAcentral describes it as "partial 16S ribosomal RNA". It matches the Rfam family "Bacterial small subunit ribosomal RNA", at positions 29 to 507 of the family's 1533-position model. The record is from RNAcentral.